CCUACGGGUGGCAGCAGUGAGGAAUAUUGGUCAAUGGCCGAAAGGCUGAACCAGCCAAGUCGCGUGAGGGAUGACGGCCCUAUGGAUUGUAAACCUCUUUUGUCAGGGAGCAAAGGGCGCCACGUGUGGCGUUUUGCGAGUACCCGGAGAAAAAGCAACGGCUAACACCGGGCAAGCAGCCGCGGUAAUACGGAGGAUGCGAGCGUUAUCCGGAUUUAUUGGGUUUAAAGGGUGCGCAGGCGGAAUGUCAAGUCAGCGGUAAAAUUUCGGGGCUCAACCCCGUCGUGCCGUUGAAACUGGCGUUCUUGAGUGGGCGAGAAGUAUGCGGAAUGCGUGGUGUAGCGGUGAAAUGCAUAGAUAUCACGCAGAACUCCGAUUGCGAAGGCAGCAUACCGGCGCUCAACUGACGCUGAUGCACGAAAGCGUGGGUAUCGAACAGGAUUAGAUACCCGUGUAGUC
Molecule: ribosomal RNA, 459 nt
Filed under: uncultured bacterium
Lineage: Bacteria
Description: partial 16S ribosomal RNA
Rfam family: Bacterial small subunit ribosomal RNA
Source: RNAcentral